GAUGAACGCUGGCGGCGUGCCUAAUACAUGCAAGUCGAGCGAACGGACGAGAAGCUUGCUUCUCUGAUGUUAGCGGCGGACGGGUGAGUAACACGUGGAUAACCUACCUAUAAGACUGGGAUAACUUCGGGAAACCGGAGCUAAUACCGGAUAAUAUUUUGAACCGCAUGGUUCAAAAGUGAAAGACGGUCUUGCUGUCACUUAUAGAUGGAUCCGCGCUGCAUUAGCUAGUUGGUAAGGUAACGGCUUACCAAGGCAACGAUGCAUAGCCGACCUGAGAGGGUGAUCGGCCACACUGGAACUGAGACACGGUCCAGACUCCUACGGGAGGCAGCAGUAGGGAAUCUUCCGCAAUGGGCGAAAGCCUGACGGAGCAACGCCGCGUGAGUGAUGAAGGUCUUCGGAUCGUAAAACUCUGUUAUUAGGGAAGAACAUAUGUGUAAGUAACUGUGCACAUCUUGACGGUACCUAAUCAGAAAGCCACGGCUAACUACGUGCCAGCAGCCGCGGUAAUACGUAGGUGGCAAGCGUUAUCCGGAAUUAUUGGGCGCAAAGCGCGCGUAGGCGGUUUUUUAAGUCUGAUGUGAAAGCCCACGGCUCAACCGUGGAGGGUCAUUGGAAACUGGAAAACUUGAGUGCAGAAGAGGAAAGUGGAAUUCCAUGUGUAGCGGUGAAAUGCGCAGAGAUAUGGAGGAACACCAGUGGCGAAGGCGACUUUCUGGUCUGUAACUGACGCUGAUGUGCGAAAGCGUGGGGAUCAAACAGGAUUAGAUACCCUGGUAGUCCACGCCGUAAACGAUGAGUGCUAAGUGUUAGGGGGUUUCCGCCCCUUAGUGCUGCAGCUAACGCAUUAAGCACUCCGCCUGGGGAGUACGACCGCAAGGUUGAAACUCAAAGGAAUUGACGGGGACCCGCACAAGCGGUGGAGCAUGUGGUUUAAUUCGAAGCAACGCGAAGAACCUUACCAAAUCUUGACAUCCUUUGACAACUCUAGAGAUAGAGCUUUCCCCUUCGGGGGACAAAGUGACAGGUGGUGCAUGGUUGUCGUCAGCUCGUGUCGUGAGAUGUUGGGUUAAGUCCCGCAACGAGCGCAACCCUUAAGCUUAGUUGCCAUCAUUAAGUUGGGCACUCUAAGUUGACUGCCGGUGACAAACCGGAGGAAGGUGGGGAUGACGUCAAAUCAUCAUGCCCCUUAUGAUUUGGGCUACACACGUGCUACAAUGGACAAUACAAAGGGCAGCGAAACCGUGAGGUCAAGCAAAUCCCAUAAAGUUGUUCUCAGUUCGGAUUGUAGUCUGCAACUCGACUACAUGAAGCUGGAAUCGCUAGUAAUCGUAGAUCAGCAUGCUACGGUGAAUACGUUCCCGGGUCU
Molecule: ribosomal RNA, 1372 nt
Filed under: uncultured bacterium
Lineage: Bacteria
Description: bacterial SSU rRNA
Rfam family: Bacterial small subunit ribosomal RNA
Source: RNAcentral